AGUGAACGCUGGCGGUAGGCCUAACACAUGCAAGUCGAACGGCAGCACAGUAAGAGCUUGCUCUUACGGGUGGCGAGUGGCGGACGGGUGAGGAAUACAUCGGAAUCUACUUUUUCGUGGGGGAUAACGUAGGGAAACUUACGCUAAUACCGCAUACGACCUACGGGUGAAAGCAGGGGAUCUUCGGACCUUGCGCGAUUGAAUGAGCCGAUGUGGGAUUAGCUAGUUGGCGGGGGAAAGGCCCACCAAGGCGACGAUCCGUAGCUGGUCUGAGAGGAUGAUCAGCCACCCUGGAACUGAGACACGGUCCAGACUCCUACGGGAGGCAGCAGUGGGGAAUAUUGGACAAUGGGCGCAAGCCUGAUCCAGCCAUACCGCGUGGGUGAAGAAGGCCUUCGGGUUGUAAAGCCCUUUUGUUGGGAAAGAAAAGCAGCAGGUUAAUACCCCGCUGUUCUGACGGUACCCAAAGAAUAAGCACCGGCUAACUUCGUG
This 492-nucleotide ribosomal RNA is filed under the name uncultured bacterium. Its description in RNAcentral is "partial 16S ribosomal RNA". It matches the Rfam family "Bacterial small subunit ribosomal RNA", at positions 29 to 507 of the family's 1533-position model. The record is from RNAcentral.